UUUCCUCUACGAUACACAAGGGCUCUUUCUGGACUCACUUUCCAUCGCUGCCAAGCUAAUGAUGGGAGUGGAAGUUGCCCAAUUCUCACAUCAUCAACAGAUGGCUCUCCAUAUUUGGAAAAAUUUCACGUGGCACAGGAAGAAAACUGCCAGCUUCUCCAAGCAGUCUCAUGCCUGGUGGUGACCUCCUUUGCAUAUCCUAUCCGGGGUCAAGCGGAAAUUCCAAGCCCAUCAAGCCUGAGAAGGAAAUCAAGAGUUCUGCCAGGACCGCCCAGUUGAGAAAAUCGGAACAAGAUGCCUCAUGCUGUUGAUGAACUCCUAACUCUUAGAGCCUCAAGGGAAGGCAGGAAGAUGGGCCAGUAUCCCAGGCACUCCCAUGUUUGUUCUCAGCUGGGCUUUACCUCCAGAAUGUGGGAAGUUCCUGGCUGCUCUGGCAUCCACAGCUAUAAACUGCCCUGGGUCCUGUGAUUACAAUUGUGAUGGUCUCUGUCAAGAGACACAAACAUGGGGGUGGCACGGAAAGGGUACUAUGUUCUAGUCUAGCUUGCAACCAACUGUGACUGUGGGGCUUCCUUUACCUAAGACCACCCAGGGAAGGCAGCAAAAUGUCACUUCAGAACCAUUCUCAUGUUUGCCUCUGGAGCCAAUCAAGCAGGAAUUUUCUCCAUUGGACAACAUUGCAUCCACUCUGUCUGCCAAGCCACCUUAAAAUGUAGGUGAUCAUCACCUUUGAUGGAGUCUGCUGUGCUUUCAUUAGCACCAAUCUUAAUUUAGGGGUGACUAUAUCCACUUAAUCAGCAAACAUUGAGUGAGUGAUUGCUAACUUACAUGCCAAAGAAUGUGAAAUGGUUUCUACUCUGCAGAAGGAUACAGGGAAAUAUAAAAUAUUUUCUCUACUAUAAAAUUUUUAAUUAUUAUUA
Long non-coding RNA from Mus musculus (house mouse), 920 nucleotides. RefSeq annotates it as predicted gene, 33838. The transcript is spliced from 4 exons. Lineage: Eukaryota; Metazoa; Chordata; Mammalia; Rodentia; Muridae. The record is from RefSeq and is a predicted model, not a curated record.